Non-coding RNA from Vicia faba (fava bean), 252 nucleotides. NCBI's taxonomy places the organism in Eukaryota, Viridiplantae, Streptophyta, Magnoliopsida, Fabales, Fabaceae. The record is from the annotation of a GenBank genome assembly.
AUGAGAAACUGGAAGGGCUGGAGGUGUUUCAAGAGCCUUACUAUCUACCCUUUUAAGAGUAUAUUUAGUAAAGUGAAUUCAAACUUCAGACUCAAAUCUCAAGGACACAGAAAUGGACUUGUUAGUCUUUAUAAAGACAUGGAGUCAUGUGGUGAAUAUGCAGAUAUUCAAGUCAUGUGGAAAAUGAUUGAAUCUUCAUCUCCUAAACUUGCCUGCAACAAGAAAAGGACCAAAAUUUUCUUCAUGGAUUAG